UUUCAUAAACCUUUUUUCUUGGAUCUUCUUAAUAUGUCAUUUGCGUUAAUUAUUCUCAGAAAAGAUUUGAUGUGAAACAAAAGUUUAAGUUGCAGGAAAAAGAGAGGCUUAUGUAUCACGAUGAGACAUAUUAACCUAAUCAAAGAAUAAUUUUUGGAAAAAGUAUUCGUAUUUACCAAAAAUAUAACUAAAUGGAUACCAAAUUCAACAUGCACAUAUAUAAUUGUACACUUUAGAAUUAAAGAGAAAUAAUAUUCCACCUGAAAAGAGCAACCAUUCAAUAAGAAC
Molecule: long non-coding RNA, 288 nt
Filed under: Brassica napus (rape)
Lineage: Eukaryota; Viridiplantae; Streptophyta; Magnoliopsida; Brassicales; Brassicaceae
Description: long non-coding RNA (BNAP_LNC017602)
Source: RNAcentral